GACGAACGCUGGCGGCGUGCUUAACACAUGCAAGUCGAACGGAAAGGCCCUGCUUUUGUGGGGUGUUCGAGUGGCGAACGGGUGAGUAACACGUGAGUAACCUGCCCUUGACUUUGGGAUAACUUCAGGAAACUGGGGCUAAUACCGGAUAGGAGCUCCUGCUGCAUGGUGGGGGUUGGAAAGUUUCGGCGGUUGGGGAUGGACUCGCGGCUUAUCAGCUUGUUGGUGGGGUAGUGGCUUACCAAGGCUUUGACGGGUAGCCGGCCUGAGAGGGUGACCGGCCACAUUGGGACUGAGAUACGGCCCAGACUCCUACGGGAGGCAGCAGUGGGGAAUAUUGCACAAUGGGCGGAAGCCUGAUGCAGCAACGCCGCGUGCAGGAUGACGGCCUUCGGGUUGUAAACCGCUUUCGCCUGUGACGAAGCGUGAGUGACGGUAAUGGGUAAAGAAGCACCGGCUAACUACGUG
This 468-nucleotide ribosomal RNA is filed under the name uncultured bacterium. RNAcentral describes it as "partial 16S ribosomal RNA". It matches the Rfam family "Bacterial small subunit ribosomal RNA", at positions 28 to 507 of the family's 1533-position model. The record is from RNAcentral.